CGUACAGGUUUCCGUAGGUGAACCUGCGGAAGGAUCAUUACACUCAGUAGCUUACUACUGUAAAGGAGGCUGUUAGUCUGUAUAGCGCAAGCUGAUGAGCAGCUAGCCUCUUUUAUCCACCCUUGUCUUUUGCGUACCCACGUUUCCUCGGCAGGCUUGCCUGCCGAUUGGACGAACCUAUAACCUUUUUAAUUUUCAAUCAGCGUCUGAAAAACUUAAUAAUUACAACUUUCAACAACGGAUCUCUUGGUUCUGGCAUCGAUGAAGAACGCAGCGAAAUGCGAUAAGUAGUGUGAAUUGCAGAAUUCAGUGAAUCAUCGAAUCUUUGAACGCACAUUGCGCCCCUUGGUAUUCCAUGGGGCAUGCCUGUUCGAGCGUCAUUUGUACCCUCAAGCUCUGCUUGGUGUUGGGUGUUUGUCCUCUCCCUAGUGUUUGGACUCGCCUUAAAAUAAUUGGCAGCUAGUGUUUUGGUAUUGAAGCGCAGCACAAGUCGCGAUUCUUAUCAAAUACUUGCGUCCACAAGCCCUUUUUUAACUUUUGACCUCGGAUCAGGUAGGGAUACCCGCUGAACUUAAGCAUAUCA
Molecule: ribosomal RNA, 583 nt
Filed under: uncultured fungus
Lineage: Eukaryota; Fungi
Description: eukaryotic LSU rRNA
Rfam family: 5.8S ribosomal RNA (bases 227-380)
Source: RNAcentral